Molecule: ribosomal RNA, 468 nt
Filed under: uncultured bacterium
Lineage: Bacteria
Description: partial 16S ribosomal RNA
Rfam family: Bacterial small subunit ribosomal RNA
Source: RNAcentral
GACGAACGCUGGCGGCGUGCUUAACACAUGCAAGUCGAACGGAAAGGCCCUGCUUUUGUGGGGUGCUCGAUUGGCGAACGGGUGAGUAACACGUGAGUAACCUGCCCUUGUCUUUGGGGUAACUUCACGAAACUGGGGCUAAUAUCGGAUAGGAGAUCCUGCUCCAUGGUGGGGGUUGGAAAGUUUCGGCGGUUGGGGAUGGACUCGCGGCUUAUCAGCUUGUUGGUGGGGUAGUGGCUUACCAAGGGUUUGACGGGUAGCCGGCCUGAGAGGGUGGACGGCGACAUUGGGACUGAGAUACGGACCAGACUGCUACGGGAGGCAGCAGUGGGAAAUAUUGCACAAUGAGCGGAAGCGUGAUGCAGAGACGCCGCGUGCGGGAUGACGGCCUUCUGGUUGUGAACCGCUGUCGCCUGUGACGAAGCGUGAGUGACGGUAAUGGGUAAAGAAGCACCGGCUAACUACGUG